GACGAACGCUGGCGGCGUGCUUAACACAUGCAAGUCGAACGGAAAGGCCCUGCUUUUGUGGGGUGCUCGAGUGGCGAACGGGUGAGUAACACGUGAGUAACCUGCCCUUGACUUUGGGAUAACUUCAGGAAACUGGGGCUAAUACCGGAUAGGAGCUCCUGCUGCAUGGUGGGGGUUGGAAAGUUUCGGCGGUUGGGGAUGGACUCGCGGCUUAUCAGCUUGUUGGUGGGGUAGUGGCUUACCAAGGCUUUGACGGGUAGCCGGCCUGAGAGGGUGACCGGCCACAUUGGGACUGAGAUACGGCCCAGACUCCUACGGGAGGCAGCAGUGGGGAAUAUUGCACAAUGGGCGGAAGCCUGAUGCAGCAACGCCGCGUGCGGGAUGGCGGCCUUCGGGUUGUAAACCGCUUUCGCCUGUGACGAAGCGUGAGUGACGGUAAUGGGUAAAGAAGCACCGGCUAACUACGUGCCAGCAGCCGCGGUGAUACGUAGGGUGCGAGCGUUGUCCGGAUUUAUUGGGCGUAAAGGGCUCGUAGGUGGUUGAUCGCGUCGGAAGUGUAAUCUUGGGGCUUAACCCUGAGCGUGCUUUCGAUACGGGUUGACUUGAGGAAGGUAGGGGAGAAUGGAAUUCCUGGUGGAGCGGUGGAAUGCGCAGAUAUCAGGAGGAACACCAGUGGCGAAGGCGGUUCUCUGGGCCUUUCCUGACGCUGAGGAGCGAAAGCGUGGGGAGCGAACAGGCUUAGAUACCCUGGUAGUCCACGCUGUAAACGGUGGGUACUAGGUGUGGGGUCCAUUCCACGGGUUCCGUGCCGUAGCUAACGCUUUAAGUACCCCGCCUGGGGAGUACGGCCGCAAGGCUAAAACUCAAAGGAAUUGACGGGGCCCCGCACAAGCGGCGGAGCAUGCGGAUUAAUUCGAUGCAACGCGUAGAACCUUACCUGGGUUUGACAUGGAUCGGGAGCGCUCAGAGAUGGGUGUGCCUCUUUUGGGGUCGGUUCACAGGUGGUGCAUGGCUGUCGUCAGCUCGUGUCGUGAGAUGUUGGGUUAAGUCCCGCAACGAGCGCAACCCUUGUUCACUGUUGCCAGCACGUUAUGGUGGGGACUCAGUGGAGACCGCCGGGGUCAACUCGGAGGAAGGUGGGGAUGACGUCAAGUCAUCAUGCCCCUUAUGUCCAGGGCUUCACGCAUGCUACAAUGGCUGGUACAGAGAGUGGCGAGCCUGUGAGGGUGAGCGAAUCUCGGAAAGCCGGUCUCAGUUCGGAUUGGGGUCUGCAACUCGACCUCAUGAAGUCGGAGUCGCUAGUAAUCGCAGAUCAGCAACGCUGCGGUGAAUACGUUCCCGGG
This 1343-nucleotide ribosomal RNA is filed under the name uncultured bacterium. Its description in RNAcentral is "16S ribosomal RNA". It matches the Rfam family "Bacterial small subunit ribosomal RNA", at positions 28 to 1378 of the family's 1533-position model. The record is from RNAcentral.